Capra hircus (goat) is the source of this 100-nucleotide small nuclear RNA. NCBI's taxonomy places the organism in Eukaryota, Metazoa, Chordata, Mammalia, Artiodactyla, Bovidae. The record is from Ensembl.
GUGCUCGCUUAGGCAGUGCAUACGCUAUGAUUGAAAUGAUAUAGAGAUUAGCACAGUCCUUGCCCAAGGAUGACAAAGUCAUGAAACAUUCUAUAUAUUU